This 253-nucleotide ribosomal RNA is filed under the name uncultured bacterium. RNAcentral's name for it is "partial 16S ribosomal RNA". It matches the Rfam family "Bacterial small subunit ribosomal RNA", at positions 524 to 776 of the family's 1533-position model. The record is from RNAcentral.
UACGGAGGGUGCAAGCGUUAUCCGGAUUUACUGGGCUUAAAGGGUGUGUAGGCGGACUUUUAAGUCAGCGGUGAAAUCUCCGGGCUCAACCCGGAAACUGCCAUUGAUACUAUUGGUCUUGAAUGUUGUUGAGGUGGGCGGAACGGGUCAUGUAGCGGUGAAAUGCAUAGAUAUGACCCAGAACACCGAUUGCGAAGGCAGCCCACUAAGCAAUGAUUGACGCUGAGGCACGAAAGCGUGGGGAUCAAACAGG